UUAGCUUGUUGGCGGGGUAACGGCCCACCAAGGCGACGAUCAGUAGGGGUUCUGAGAGGAAGGUCCCCCACAUUGGAACUGAGACACGGUCCAAACUCCUACGGGAGGCAGCAGUGAGGAAUAUUGGUCAAUGGACGAGAGUCUGAACCAGCCAAGUAGCGUGCAGGAUGACGGCCCUAUGGGUUGUAAACUGCUUUUAUAAGGGAAUAAAGUGAGUCUCGUGAGACUUUUUGCAUGUACCUUAUGAAUAAGGACCGGCUAAUUCCGUGCCAGCAGCCGCGGUAAUACGGAAGGUUCGGGCGUUAUCCGGAUUUAUUGGGUUUAAAGGGAGCGUAGGCCGGAGAUUAAGCGUGUUGUGAAAUGUAGAUGCUCAACAUCUGCACUGCAGCGCGAACUGGUUUCCUUGAGUACGCACAAAGUGGGCGGAAUUCGUGGUGUAGCGGUGAAAUGCUUAGAUAUCACGAAGAACUCCGAUUGCGAAGGCAGCUCACUGGAGCGCAACUGACGCUGAAGCUCGAAAGUGCGGGUAUCGAACAGGAUUAGAUACCCUGGUAGUCCGCACGGUAAACGAUGGAUGCCCGCUGUUGGUUCUGAAUAGGUCAGCGGCCAAGCGAAAGC
RNAcentral lists this ribosomal RNA (618 nucleotides) under uncultured Bacteroidota bacterium. Its description in RNAcentral is "bacterial SSU rRNA". It matches the Rfam family "Bacterial small subunit ribosomal RNA", at positions 241 to 858 of the family's 1533-position model. Lineage: Bacteria; Pseudomonadati; Bacteroidota. The record is from RNAcentral.